GAUGAAGAACGCAGCGAAAUGCGAUAAGUAAUGUGAAUUGCAGAAUUCAGUGAAUCAUCGAAUCUUUGAACGCACAUUGCGCCCCCUGGUAUUCCGGGGGGCAUGCCUGUCCGAGCGUCAUUACAACCCUCAAGCUCAGCUUGGUGUUGGGCCCCGCCGCCCCGGCGGGCCCUAAAGUCAGUGGCGGUGCCGUCCGGCUCCGAGCGUAGUAAUUCUUCUCGCUCUGGAGGUCCGGUCGUGUGCUCGCCAGCAACCCCCAAUUUUUUUCAGGUUGACCUCAGAUCAGGUAGGGAUACCCGCUGAACUUAAGCAUAUCAAUAAGCGAGGA
Molecule: unclassified non-coding RNA, 328 nt
Filed under: soil metagenome
Description: partial contains 5.8S ribosomal RNA, internal transcribed spacer 2, and large subunit ribosomal RNA
Rfam family: 5.8S ribosomal RNA (bases 1-120)
Source: RNAcentral